Molecule: ribosomal RNA, 303 nt
Filed under: uncultured bacterium
Lineage: Bacteria
Description: partial 16S ribosomal RNA
Rfam family: Bacterial small subunit ribosomal RNA
Source: RNAcentral
AGCAGUCGCCGCGGUAAAACGGAGGGUGCAAGCGUUAAUCGGAAUUACUGGGCGUAAAGCGCACGCAGGCGGUCUGACAAGUCAGAUGUGAAAUCCCCGGGCUUAACCUGGGAACUGCAUUUGAAACUGUCAGGCUGGAGUCUUGUAGAGGGGGGUGGAAUUCCAGGUGUAGCGGUGAAAUGCGUAGAGAUCUGGAGGAAUACCGGUGGCGAAGGCGGCCCCCUGGACAAAGACUGACGCUCAGGUGCGAAAGCGUGGGGAGCAAACAGGAUUAGAUACCCCUGUAGUCCCUGUCUCUUAUAC